UUUCUUUUAUGGAGAGUUUGAUCCUGGCUCAGGACGAACGCUGGCGGCGUGCCUAAUACAUGC
This 63-nucleotide ribosomal RNA is filed under the name Ureibacillus thermosphaericus. RNAcentral describes it as "partial 16S ribosomal RNA". It matches the Rfam family "Bacterial small subunit ribosomal RNA", at positions 1 to 58 of the family's 1533-position model. Lineage: Bacteria; Bacillati; Bacillota; Bacilli; Caryophanales; Caryophanaceae. The record is from RNAcentral.